Dipodomys ordii (Ord's kangaroo rat) is the source of this 58-nucleotide non-coding RNA. The record is from Rfam. NCBI's taxonomy places the organism in Eukaryota, Metazoa, Chordata, Mammalia, Rodentia, Heteromyidae.
UGGCUCACUGGUAGAGCGCUUGCCUUGCAUGCAUGAGGCCGUGGGUUCGAUCCUCAGC